RNAcentral lists this ribosomal RNA (606 nucleotides) under Triticum aestivum (bread wheat). RNAcentral describes it as "partial small subunit ribosomal RNA". The record is from RNAcentral. Lineage: Eukaryota; Viridiplantae; Streptophyta; Magnoliopsida; Poales; Poaceae.
AUGUGUCCAAUGGAGUUAAAUGGUCCUCCAUUUGGUCAACCAACAACUCCAGCACCUGUUGUGCAAUCUCAUGUGCAAGUGCCCACACAAGUGCUCACACUUUUGAGUCUCGAGUUCACUUGGAGUGUCGAGGAUGAUCCUAUUAGGAAGGUUAUUCUGGAGGAAAUGAAGAAGAUCAAGAGUGGAAAAGAGCUAGUGGAAGAAGUAAGGAAGAUUGAGAAGAACAUCAACGUUGGCAGUACUAUCUCUUCCCUCCUUGAGUUGAGUGUUGCUGGGAUAUCCCUUGAGGUGUGUGAGAUUCCAAUACCGUCACAUCCAGCUCAGCAAGAUAGCAAGUGCCUUGAGCAAGAGAUAACUCAGAUUGAAGAAGAUGAACUAGAAGACAAGGAACAAGAUGAUCAAGAGCUGCAAUUCCCAAGUGAUCAAGUUGAAGACUCGUCAUCUACUACUCUUGAAGAAUUACUUUCCUCAUGCUAUCUAUGCUUAAUGAAACAUAUCAUUCCCAUACUAAUCUUGAGCUUAAUGAUAAAUAUCAUCCUCAUGUUAGUGUUGACCUUGCUGAUUUCUACCAUCCUAAACAUGUGCUUUAUAGCUAUGCUUAUGUAA